RNA transcript from Terrapene triunguis (Three-toed box turtle), 4354 nucleotides. It is a transcript of the gene named coronin 2A, with no coding region annotated. NCBI's taxonomy places the organism in Eukaryota, Metazoa, Chordata, Testudines, Emydidae. The record is from RefSeq and is a predicted model, not a curated record. The transcript has 13 exons.
UCGUAAUUGCUGAAUGAGCGUGACUCGGGGCUCGCCCAGCCUCUGCCAGGGACACACCAGCGGCGGGACAGAGGCAGGCACUGGCAGACUGCGCCGGAGGGGCUGGCUUGCUGCUCCGCCGGCGGGGGCAGAAUUGGGGAUCCUUCCUGCGGAGAGAGGCGAGCUGACUUCACGCUGCCCCUGGAGUGAUUCUGCAUGAGCAUUGCAAAGAUGUCAUGGCACCCUCAGUACCGGAGUUCCAAGUUCCGCCAUGUGUACGGCAAGCCUGCUAGCAAGGAGAAGUGCUACGACUGCGUCCCCAUCACCUGCAGUGUGCACGACAACCACUUCUGUGCUGUCAACCCCCACUUCAUUGCUGUCGUGACAGAGUGUGCAGGUGGCGGGGCUUUCCUCGUGAUACCCAUCCAUCAGACAGGCAAGCUUGAUCCUCACUACCCCAGGGUGUGCGGGCACAGAGGAAAUGUCCUGGACAUCAAGUGGAGCCCUUUUGAUGACUUUGUAAUCGCUUCCUGUUCUGAAGAUGCCACUGUGAAAAUCUGGGACAUCCCCAAACAUUUACUAACCAGGAACAUUACCAGUGCAAGGAAGGAGCUUCUGGGUCAUGCUCGAAGGGUGGGACUCAUUGAAUGGCAUCCUACGGCCAGCAACAUUCUCUUCAGUACUGGUUAUGAUUAUAAGAUAAUGAUCUGGAACCUCGACACAAAGGAGCCCGUAAUUCAAAAUCCGGUGAAGACAAUCAGCUGUCACAGGGACGUGAUCCUCUCCAUGUCAUUCAACACAGAUGGCAGCCUGCUAGCCACUGCCUGCCGGGACAGGAAAAUACGACUCGUUGACCCACGGUCAGGAGCAGUCCUACAGGAAGCCAGCUACAAGAAUCACAGAGUGAAUAAAGUUUUGUUUCUAGGAAACAUGAAAAAGCUGCUCUCUACUGGAACAUCACGCUGGAAUAACAGGCAAAUUGCACUAUGGGAGCAGGGUGAUCUUUCUGUGCCUUUAGUUGAGGAGGAUCUGGAUGGCUCCUCGGGGCUGCUGUUCCCGUUCUAUGACUCUGACACUCACAUGCUGUAUGUGGUGAGCAAGGGUGAUGGGAACAUACGAUACUAUGAGAUAAACGCUGAUAAGCCGCACCUGAACUACCUGAUGGAAUUCCGCUCCCAUCAACCACAGAAAGGAAUCGGAAUCAUGCCAAAGAGGGGCCUUGACGUGUCGGCCUGCGAGAUCUUCCGGUUCUACAAAUUGAUCCCAGGCAAAAGCCUGAUUGAGCCCGUCUCUAUGAUUGUUCCUCGCCGGUCGGAGUCGUACCAGGAAGACAUCUACCCAAUGACAGCUGGAGCCCAGCCAGCACUCACGGCGCAGGAAUGGCUGAACGGAAUGAAUAAAGGUCCUGUCCUGGUAUCUUUGAGACCAGGCUCUGAAAUCCUGAAUUCUCUGCCACAAUUUCCUGAGAGAGAACCAUCACUGCGGUAUCAGGACAGGACAGAAAGAAUGGCAAUGAAUGAAAUUCAGAAGCAAAGUGGGAUCCAAGAAAAGAGAGGCCAGAAAAAAGUGGAGGAAAGAUUGCAGGAAAACAGACAAAUGCGGCUUUCAAAUGGCUUCGACUUAUUCGAGUGUCCUCUACCCAAAACCGAGAAUGAGCUGUUGCAGAUGUUUUACCGACAGCAGGAAGAAAUCCGGAGACUGCGAGAGCUGGUUAACCAGAGGGACGUUCAAAUCAAACAGCUAGAACUGGAGAUUAAAAACAUCCACAUGGACUCGGGCAGGUACUGAGGUGACAAGCCCACUCUGCAGCCAUGGCAUGCACUGUGCCUGCAGCAGACACCCAGGUGCCUCAUGAGAAUGACUCUUUCUAUGUUUUGCAUUGGGAAAAAGGAGGUGAAUGCAGCGCAAACUUCCCUUGGCUCCGAUAGCCACCUGCCUGCUGUCCUGGGUGCUGCAUAUGGAUCUGCUUGGCUGCUCUACAAUGUGCUGCCAGCCAGUUCUCUCACUGCAGGUGAUCCCAGGUUAAAGGUACUUCUAGAGCUGCACCAAGUCUGGGGAGACUGAGGCUGGAACAGCGCAGGAAAGGCUCUGGUCUGCGGCCUCCAUGCGACUCCCCUGUGCACCACGAGGGCACUGGAGCAGGGCUGGCUGGGCUCCGGGCCUGCAUCCUCCUUGUGACUCCCCUGUGUGCUACAGGCAUGUGGCGUUAAGCAUGGGGCCUGCUGCCAGCCUGUGCUUGGACUGCAGCUGCAGUGGCCCUGCCCUCCAUGGCAGGUGGGGAAGGCUGCCAGUGCCAGACAAGUGCUGUAUGGAGUGGAGCCCUCAGAGAGACCAUGAGACCUCCUUUCAUACGUUAGAUGUACGAUGGGCAUUUGCCUUUUACCUGGAUAGGACCAAGCAAUUUCGGAAAUCACCUAGAAUGUUUGUCUCCAUCACAGAAAGAUUUAGAGGGUCCAUGAUUUCUUCACAGAGACUAUCGAGAGGGAUCUUUGGGAAUAUUGUUGCUUGCCAUGAUCCAGCUGGUGCUUUGGCUCCCCAGAAGACAAUAGCACACUCUACCAGAUGACAGGCAACUUCCAGAGUGUUACUCAAAAACAUGCCAACAUCCAAGAGAUGCAGAGCUGUUACAUGAACAUCAGUUCAUGCCUUCACUGAACACUACCCCUUGGUCUAUACCACUAGAUCGGAUGUGGCACUUGGUUCUGCUGUACUGUCUUCAGUCUUGGACUUGAUUCCAAAGCUCCCUGUUCCCUGUGAGGAUAUUGCUUGGAAGUCACCUGAAGUGGAGCACCUAUAGGGACAUUACCUGCAAUAACUGUGGUUCUUUGAGAUGUGUCCCCCUAUGGGUGCUCCACUACCUGUCCUCUGUCCCCUCUGCUUUGGACUGUACUUUGUUGGAUGGUGGGAUAGAGAAGGAACCAAGGAUGGUUUUCCCGCACAACCCUCAUAAUGUGCCACAAGGUUGUAUAGAGCACAUGCGUGGGCUGAACAAACAGUGCUAAUGGAAAAUCUCUGAUCAAGGGCUAAAGUGGCUCAUGCACCUCUGAAAUGGAGCACCUGUAGGGACACCCAUCUAGAAGAACCACAGUUACUGCACAAGGUGAGUAACCUUUUCUUCAUAUGCUACAAACUGCUUUAUACUUGGCUUUCCUCGUCUGUGUCUCCACACUGUGGUGUAAAAGAAAUACUAGUUAUGCUGGUGGUUGUUUUGUAUGGAGUGCUGUCUGUAGAACACACCUCCCUGCAUGGUUCAGCAUCAUCUUCAUUGCAGAGGUGGCUGUGAGAUAGCACCAGCCCUUUGCAUCCACAUCACCAUUUCCAAAGGUUAGGCAAAUUAGAGUUGGGCAGAUUUUUUUUAACCAGAAAUGUGAUACUUUGUGCAGUUUAUCAUCUACACCUGAAAGCUUUGAAAAUAAAUAUUUCAAUAACCGGUUUUCAUGGAAACUUCCAGACAUAAUUGGUGUGAUAAAUCAUCAUUUUCCAACCAGCUCUGAUAAAAACCAGACACAUCAGAGACAACCUUAUUGAUAAAUACAGUAUCAUGCCUUUUCAUGUCAACACAAGGUGUAUUUUCUUUAUUUUUAGUUUUGUUUUUCAUUCAGAAUACAUUAUUUAAAUUAUUUGUCAGUGAAAAUAACAGGAAAAUCAUCUUUACACGGCAUUUUUGAGUCUUCUUAUUGAUUGUGCUUUUGUUUAUGUAUAUGACCAGAUAGCCUCGAAAUUGAUCAGGAAUCACGGUUUUUAACCAAUUAUCAAUAGACUUGUUGAUCUCAGUGUUUACUUGAAAAGAUAAUAUUUGUGUUUAUUGUUUACUAUCAACCUUUCAGAGAACAAAAAAUAUCUAAUCAGCACUUGAAUAUGAUCUUUUAAAUAAUACCUCUGUGUCAAUGUAGACAUUGAAAUCGAAUUCAUUCUGGAGCUGAAAUGUAGUCAUAAAUCUUUUACAGAAUGAAAUGUAAUGGCAGACUUUGGUUUAUGCUUUAUUAACCUGUGCCUAAAUAUGUGUGAAUGAUGAUUUGACAUUGUUUCUUAAAUUCCUUGUAUCUUUGUAAAAAAUAGAAAAUGGAAUUGUGCAAUCUGUAAAGCAAAUAUAACUAAAGAAUGAAUAGCUGGCUAGAAUUUUACUUUUUAAUAUAUUAAGGGUUUGUUUUGCUAAUUGUUAAUUUACUUAAAGAAAAAUUCAACACCAAGGACUACCUGCGCAGGCUCGGCAGUGUGUGUCUCCGACUGUUCCCUUUGCUCAUGUGGCUGGGGGGCCGUAUGUUACUUGGCAGGAACAGUACGUUAUUGUAAACCCAUGUAUAGUAUGUCUUCCUUUGAACCUUCCCACCUGGGCACCAAGUAGGGUACUCAUCUCAGUGCCCUUUAGAUUAUA